GGUGCAAAUCUCAAGAGCUCCCUCUGAUGACUGGCAGGCACCUGAGCAAGGCGCAGGCUGCUAGCAAAGCAGGGGUGCAGCAGAAGGCAGCGUCCGCCAUGGGUGACAGGCCGCCGGCCAUUCACGGUCCCACUCACACUCAACGAGCUCCUCAGCAGGUACACAGAUGAACACCGUGCCGUGACAGACAACAGCUGGUCGAGCCUCACCCUAAAGCCCAAAUUCAAGCACGCUGGACACCAGUGUUUGCAGUAUUAACAUCAAAAAGAAAAGACUGAUUACUGGCGAACCACCAAGCGGGCGUAUAGGGAGGCAAACCAUGCGAAAGCUGUUUUUUCAGCGCCAUCCACAGCAUGCGUCUCAGCAUUUUGCCGCAUGGCAAGAUAGAACAUGAGGGGGUCCAUGAAGGGAAGCA
RNAcentral lists this long non-coding RNA (415 nucleotides) under Coccomyxa subellipsoidea. RNAcentral describes it as "long non-coding RNA (CSUB_LNC000577)". Lineage: Eukaryota; Viridiplantae; Chlorophyta; Trebouxiophyceae; Coccomyxaceae. The record is from RNAcentral.